UGGGGAAUUUUGGACAAUGGGCGAAAGCCUGAUCCAGCAAUGCCGCGUGUGUGAAGAAGGCCUUCGGGUUGUAAAGCACUUUUGUCCGGAAAGAAAUCCUUGGCUCUAAUACAGUCGGGGGAUGACGGUACCGGAAGAAUAAGCACCGGCUAACUACGUGCCAGCAGCCGCGGUAAUACGUAGGGUGCAAGCGUUAAUCGGAAUUACUGGGCGUAAAGCGUGCGCAGGCGGUUUGCUAAGACCGAUGUGAAAUCCCCGGGCUCAACCUGGGAACUGCAUUGGUGACUGGCAGGCUAGAGUAUGGCAGAGGGGGGUAGAAUUCCACGUGUAGCAGUGAAAUGCGUAGAGAUGUGGAGGAAUACCGAUGGCGAAGGCAGCCCCCUGGGCCAAUACUGACGCUCAUGCACGAAAGCGUGGGGAGCAAACAGGAUUAGAUACCCUGGUAGUCCACGCCCUAAACGAUGUCAAUUAGUUGUUGGGGAUUCAUUUCCUUAGUAACGUAGCUAACGCGUGAAGUUGACCGCCUGGGGAGUACGGUCGCAAGAUUAAAACUCAAAUGAAUUGACGGGGUCAUAGCUGUUUCCU
Molecule: ribosomal RNA, 585 nt
Filed under: uncultured bacterium
Lineage: Bacteria
Description: partial 16S ribosomal RNA
Rfam family: Bacterial small subunit ribosomal RNA
Source: RNAcentral